UCCUCCUCUCUCUCUCUCUCCACCCUCAGCCGCCACACUCCCAUGUCCCAUCCACUCUCCUCUCCUCUCCGGCGGUGGGUACAGGCGAUGACAGCGUGCGGCGGCGUCCUCCUCCUCUAUUGCCGCUCGCGGUGCCGGCUUACUCUCCCCCACCGCUUACCACGCCGCCUCCGUCUCCGCCGUCGCCAGGCUCGGGAGCGGCGGAUCUGCCGCCGAUAGCGCCGGCUUCCGGGCCGGCAUCCGUCUCCGCCGCUGCUGGGCACGGGAGCGGUGGAUCCGCCGCCACCAUCCACUCCCCCACCACCGCCGAUCCCCUCUCUAUGCAUGCCUCACGCCGUCGCAUACCCUCCCGAUUUCCCUCUCCAAUGAUGGAUGGUUUGGUUUGGUUUGGUUUGUCUGCUUGCGAGCAGCUUCUGGUUGCUGUGCGUGUUCGGAUGUUUCUAGUUUCUCUCCCCCAAUUUCGUGCGUUCUGGAGAUAAAUUAGCGGGAGGCUGUUUCUAGUUUUUCUCCCCCAAUUUCGUGCGUUUCUAGUUUAUUAUUUUUCGCGGAAGUCUGUUCGGAUCACCACUGGGAGCCAGGCACUUGAUGAGGUGCUUGGCGGUAACAUAGUAACAUAUAUAGUCCUCCGACUUUGUUAUGAUCAGUUGUUCCAUUAUUUUGUUCUAAUCUACUUGCAUUUUUCAAAUUUUCAAGGAGGGAUUGAAGCACUGCAUCACAGAGGCAUUUGGAGAGUUUCGGUGAGCAACCCACAUAGGCUGAUAAGCUCAUUCUGCCUCACACUUCUUCCAUGGCCACAGAAACAGCUAGCCAGAUGAAAGAAACUGUAUCUGCUGAUGCUAAAAAAGAAAAGAAGCAAACUAAGUAUAAGGAUGCUCCACCCACUGCAUUUGAUCUUUUCAAGAUGUGCCAUUGCAACAGCAAUACGAGUUUUAAUGAGCCUGUAAAGAAUGUUAUUGCUGAGAUGGAAGUUCAUUGAUAAUCCUGCACAAGAAGGGCAAGAUAUGAUUGGACUUUGUAGAUAUGGUCAGUGAUGUAGAACUUUGUUUUGCUAUCUAGGAUAUGGUGGUACUGUUAUGUUUUGCUCACCCGACUGAACCUAGUUUGGUUGUAAGAUUUGUGUUGUAUUGGAUGUUUGUCGGGUUGUGCUAUAUGGGUUGUUAUUGUGUUUGAUUGUUGGGCCUAUAUGGGCUUAGCACACUUGUUAUUUGAUACUAAUAUAAAUGAAUAUAAUAUGAUGGGCUGAAAA
Molecule: long non-coding RNA, 1246 nt
Organism: Oryza sativa Japonica Group (Japanese rice)
Lineage: Eukaryota; Viridiplantae; Streptophyta; Magnoliopsida; Poales; Poaceae
Source: RefSeq, a predicted model, not a curated record